UAUUUGCAAAUGUCGUAUUAUUUCGAAUAAGUGGCAUAACACAGUUGGUAAGGAAUUGGGGUUAAAUGGUACAAGAGUGAGAGGUCCCGGGCUCGAUCCCCAUUUCUAACUUUUCUCCGUUUUAUUCGUUUUUUAUUUUAGUUCUAAUUUCAUUUUUAUUUAUUUAAAAAUCACAAAAAUUGCAUUUUUAUUAUUUUAAUAUUCAAUUUUCGUUUUUACUAUUUAAGCAUUAAUUUUUUAAGUUUUUCAUUUUUAUUCAUAAAAAUACACAAAAAAAAAAAUUAAAAUAUAAAAAGAUUGAAAAAGAUUUUACACUUUUUUUUAAUUGAUUAAAUAUAGUCAUAAGUCUCUAAUCAGAUAAUUUUGGGCCUUUGAAUUAUUUCAAUUAGUUUUGGUUCAUGCAUUUUUAACCUAAUUUUUUUUUUGUAUAUAUAACAACAACGAAGACCUUAUUUGGGAGAGAUUUUUUGUCUCAACCCUUAUGCCAGCCCCUCACACGUAUAGCACACGACGAUUAAUUUGUUCUUCGCACAGUAAAUCUCAUUGUUAACAAUAACAACCUGUACAAAAUCAUCAUCCAAUAACCUCCAUGUCAAUACCAUGACAUCACAAAACUCAUAAACUUACAAUAACCUGUAACAAAAUAAUAUACAGUAAUAAAACACAGGUUGGAGAAAGAAGACUCAAAACAAAUCCCACCCGAUCCAGAUUUGAACCGCCAUAGUCAUGCCGUUAUACUACAAACGAGCGCACAGCACAAAAUCGGAAACGCCUCCGACUGCUAGAUCCGGUCACAUCCACCGCCGUUGAUUCAUCGCUGGUAAGUCUUGAUGCCGUUUCUGCUAUUGAUUUCAUUUGGUUUGGGUUCUGAUGCUAUUUGUUAAUAUUUGUUUUCUAAUGGCUUUGUUUGAAUCAUUACCAAUUUGCUUGUUCUAAGAAAAAUAAAGGAAAAAGGAUAUGUGUGGUUUGUGUCGAUACCGCAGCGUGAGCGAGAAAGCAUGAAUUUGGGAAAAGUGGUUUUAGAAAAUUGCUUCAAUUUCCUUUUUUUUUACUAUUGUUUUAUUUAUCUAUCUUUCUAAUUUUCUUUUCAUGAAAAGUGACGUCAAAAGAACAGGGGUGUGUAUCUCCACAUGCUGUUGCAUUUUUUCUUAUUCAUUUCCAAUAAAAACUAUCUCAUUAGUCUCUUAUUAAAAAUUAAAAAAAAAUGGUGAUUUAGAUUUUAUUUUUCAAUAUUACAAAUACAAAAAAAAGAUUUGGUUAGUUAGAUUGAUCAAAUUAAUUUUUAGGUAAGAUAUGUAAUUAGAUUAAUCAUUUACUUAGGUUAAUUAACAUAAUUUUUUUUAUUAUUAAUUCACAAAUAAAAAACACCAAAAUAUUUCCUCUAUAUUUUAAUUAGGUUGAGUAUGUAACUUGUAAAUAUUCGACAAUUUGUAUAUCUAUUGUUACUAACAUUUUCUUGUUUGUGUGAGGUACUAUCAUCGUGAGCAUUGGACAAUUUUGCAGACAUUCACAGCUUAUGCAUGCGUGGAUUAAUCUAACAUUUCAGGGUCUGCAGUCCCAGAUCAAUCAAGGUUAAUCAAGAUUCUUCCGACUACGCGCCAUGCCAAUCAAGAAGCUAAGUUUCUAAACCUUUGUUAUUUAUUUAUUUCGUUUUAAUAUUAUUUUAAUUUUUAUUUUGCCAGUUAGGAUCUAUUUUCAAAUGCCCAUGAAUCUCUCCUACACUCACUGCUUUCUUUUCCUUUGUCAAUUCUCCAAUGGUCAGGGUCAAUGCUUCUCAUGCUCAAGGCAAAACUCUGCCCAUCAACCUUCAUUAAUCGAAGCUAAAGGUUCGUCGAGUUGCCAAAGCUACGGAUAUUGGUAACCCUAAACCUUAACCUUGAUAUUUUUCUUCGUUUAUUAUUACUUAUGUCAAACCCUUUUAAGGGAUCCGCUGGUUUCUUAUUCCCUUCCCCCACUAUUAUGUAACUGUUUACUGGUUGUAUUGUUUGGCCUUGAAGGCACUUAAAUUAUAUUAUAAUAUUCUUAUUGUGUGGUUAGUAAUGUAGGGAGUGACAAGAUUAAUUAAUCAAACGUUAGAUCACUAACAAGAUAAAAUAUUCGAAUACAACCACGUGAUUGUUGCACCCACACACCUUUAGGGUAAUCCCUCUGGUUGCCUUUGUUGCCUGUUGCCUUGUUGCCUUUAAGUGUACUAAAUAGUCAAAGUCCCUCGAUUCCGAGGAUACCUAAAGCAAAACAAAAUGUUGCCCUAAGUUCAUUAUCAUCAAUUCUGCCCCUCGAAGCUGCCUCGGUAAAAACAUGAUGAUUGUCCCAAUUGCUAAGGUAUCCUCGCAUGAUGCCUAAAAAGAUUAAUGACUAUUAUAUCCUUCCCUUAGACUACAUGCCCUCUUUAUGGCAUGGGACAGUCUUAUGGCGAACGAUUACUCGAUGACCCUUAAACAUCCAAUUGAAAGACUUCCUGCCCUUUAUAGCAUGGAUAGAUCCUUUCGCCUCGAAAAGCUAAAAGAACGAAUUUUCAAACUUAGGGUAGUUGCUACUAAUUGCUCGCUCUUUUCAAAUUCAAAUUAAAAAUACUUUUCCAACUCAAUUUCAAAUACUUUCAAAACAAGGCUACGCUUAUUUACAAGCUAAAGUCCUUGGACAAAGUUUUUACUUUUUACACACUGCUCUUUUCAAACAAAUCAAACAAACAAAGUGAGCUAAGCAAUUAAGAGCCCAUGGAUAACCAUGGAUGCAAAGGGUGCCUUACACCUUCCCUUUGUAUAACUUACCCCCCGAACUCAAAAUCUUUUUAAAAGGUCUUUUCCUGUUCUUUUAGCCUUUCCUAAAAUUGGAUAAAAUAAAAGUCGGUGGCGACUCUUGCUUACCGCAACAUUUUCAUUAUUAAAAA
This is a long non-coding RNA of Vicia villosa (hairy vetch), 2890 nucleotides long. RefSeq lists it as uncharacterized. The transcript has 2 exons. Lineage: Eukaryota; Viridiplantae; Streptophyta; Magnoliopsida; Fabales; Fabaceae. The record is from RefSeq and is a predicted model, not a curated record.